Long non-coding RNA from Schistocerca nitens (vagrant locust), 792 nucleotides. RefSeq lists it as uncharacterized. NCBI's taxonomy places the organism in Eukaryota, Metazoa, Arthropoda, Insecta, Orthoptera, Acrididae. The record is from RefSeq and is a predicted model, not a curated record. The transcript is spliced from 4 exons.
AGCCCUGCACAAGGCCGCACGUACGGAGACAGGGCUCUCGUGAACCAUUACAUCCCACAAGUGCUGGAUGAGCUUGACCAGCAGCUGGAGAUGGAGAGGGCGUAGGCACAGCUCAGUUAUGAUCAUGGUUCCAUGCAUAGGGAGGGGAGCACAGAAGGUGGCGUGCAAGGUGGGGGACAAAUGGCGGCCGCUCCAGAAAACCAUCAAAUUAUGGAGCUUUUAGAGGAGGAGGAGGAGCUCGAUCUGCCUGAGUGGGUGGGAGACCUGGUUGAAUGUGGCAAUGAGUUGCUCAAACCAUGGAGCCAGAGCAGAGAACGUGAAUUGUUUUGAACAUUAUCAUUAGACCAAUUAAUUACCCUUAUUUAGUCUUAUUAUUUAUUUUUCUUUUAAAUCUACAUCAUUAAACUUAUAUUUUUUCUUAUAUCUUUUCUUGGUAUAUCACGGCGUGGGCCCUCUGGCGUCCCUGGGCAAUUCAACCGGCACGAGAGAACGAAGAACAAAAGCAGGUGCAAUGGUCUCCCACCCCACUGACUGGUAGCGGGAGCAACUCACCCCGGGGGCUGUCGCUGCAGCCCGGUUGCUCCAGCGGGCAGUCACCGCCUCCCCCUCAACCAGCUCACCCCUGCUGCCAACGCAAGGAUCAUUUUUAUCAGGCCAACGUAGAAGUACAUUACCAGAAGAUGAACAGUUAAAUCUCCAUCCCACAUAAUUUAUUUAUAAUCUUUAAAAAAUGCACAAAGUAAUGAUAUUGGAUAAAGAACUUCAUUUCUUUUAGUAUUUAUUUUUCCUGUA